CCUGUCUGUCUCCGUUUGCAAUCCCAGCCGCUUUGUAUGGAGAGCUUUUACGCAGCACCUGAAAAUUCAAUUUGAACACCUGUGUCCCCUUCUUUUCAAUCUGGGAGGCUGAAAUUUGACAGACACAUCAUGGCAAAGUUGUGCAGCAGCGAUACAAGUAGAUGCUGAAGAAAAGGGAGGAAUCUGAGCGCAGGAUAAAAUGCUCAAGAAAAUCCCAUUGGUGGAAUGUUUGUGAGAGAAAAAAAAGGUGGCAGAAAGACUGGUAUUAUAGUAGUCCCUGCUUAUCUUCGGGGGAUAUUCUCCAGAAACCCCAUCCCGCCGCCAGUGGAUGCCUGAGACCUUGGAUAGUACCGAACCAGAUUGCCAUCUAUUGGAACAUGUUUCUCUUCCAUCCACAGAUGUAAUGCCUUUUCCAUCUUAACUCAGCACUCAUCAUGCACUGCGGCCAUAACUUUUGCAGUCUGAGGCACAACAGCAAAACUAGCACAAAUUUAUUUUUCCUACUUGACAAUUUC
Molecule: long non-coding RNA, 515 nt
Filed under: Homo sapiens (human)
Lineage: Eukaryota; Metazoa; Chordata; Mammalia; Primates; Hominidae
Description: non-protein coding lnc-GTDC1-1:1
Source: RNAcentral